AAUACAUGGCAAAGGUCGAAGCGGGACAGAUGGGAGCUUGCUCCCUGAUGUUAGCGGCGGACGGGUGAGUAACACGUGGGUAACCUGCCUGUAAGACUGGGAUAACUCCGGGAAACCGGGGCUAAUACCGGAUGCUUGUUUGAACCGCAUGGUUCAAACAUAAAAGGUGGCUUCGGCUACCACUUACAGAUGGACCCGCGGCGCAUUAGCUAGUUGGUGAGGUAAUGGCUCACCAAGGCGACGAUGCGUAGCCGACCUGAGAGGGUGAUCGGCCACACUGGGACUGAGACACGGCCCAGACUCCUACGGGAGGCAGCAGUAGGGAAUCUUCCGCAAUGGACGAAAGUCUGACGGAGCAACGCCGCGUGAGUGAUGAAGGUUUUCGGAUCGUAAAGCUCUGUUGUUAGGGAAGAACAAGUACCGUUCGAAUAGGGCGGUACCUUGACGGUACCUAACCAGAAAGCCACGGCUAACUACGUGCCAGCAGCCGCGGUAAUACGUAGGUGGCAAGCGUUGUCCGGAAUUAUUGGGCGUAAAGGGCUCGCAGGCGGUUUCUUAAGUCUGAUGUGAAAGCCCUUCGGCUCAAUCGGGGAGGGUCAUUGGAAACUGGGGAACUUGAGUGCAGAAGAGGAGAGUGGAAUUCUACGUGUAGCGGUGAAAUGCGUAGAGAUGUGGAGGAACACCAGUGGCGAAGGCGACUCUCUGGUCUGUAACUGACGCUGAGGAGCGAAAGCGUGGGGAGCGAACAGGAUUAGAUACCCUGGUAGUCCACGCCGUAAACGAUGAGUGCUAAGUGUUAGGGGUUUCUGCCUCUUAGUGCUGCAGCUAACGCAUUAAGCACUCUGCCUGGGGAGUACGGUCGCAAGACUGAAACUCAAAGGAAUUGACGGGGGCCCGCACAAGCGGUGGAGCAUGUGGUUUAAUUCGAGCAACGCGAGACUUUACUAGGUCUUGACAUCUCUGACAUCUAGAGAUAGGACGUCUCCUUCGGGGCAGAGUGACAGUGUGCAUGAUGUCGUCAGCUCGUGUUCGUGAGAUGGUGGUAGUCCGCACGAGCGCAUCUGAUCUAGUGGCUAGCAUUCAGUUGGGCACUCUAGUGACUGGCUGUGACA
This 1112-nucleotide ribosomal RNA is filed under the name Bacillus subtilis. RNAcentral describes it as "bacterial SSU rRNA". It matches the Rfam family "Bacterial small subunit ribosomal RNA", at positions 50 to 1160 of the family's 1533-position model. Lineage: Bacteria; Bacillati; Bacillota; Bacilli; Caryophanales; Bacillaceae. The record is from RNAcentral.